RNAcentral lists this transfer RNA (73 nucleotides) under Camelus bactrianus (Bactrian camel). It matches the Rfam family "tRNA". Rfam says of the family: Transfer RNA (tRNA) molecules are approximately 80 nucleotides in length. RNAcentral also lists the same sequence under 2 other names. Lineage: Eukaryota; Metazoa; Chordata; Mammalia; Artiodactyla; Camelidae. The record is from Rfam by way of RNAcentral.
GAGGGUAUAGCUCAAGUGGUAGAGCACAUGCUUAGCAUGCACAAGGUCUUCGGUUCAAUCCCCAGUACCUCCU